GCCGCCCACGCCGGCCGCCGGCGCUCGCCGCGGAUUGGGCUCGGCCCCAUGCGUGCAGCGCCUGGAGCUUGCCCCGAGAGCAGCAUCCAGGACUCGCCGCACGCACAAAAGCACCGCCUCGUCCGAAAUCAAGCGCCAGCAGCCCCGUCGCGGACGACGCCACCGAUAGCCUACACGAGCGCACAAUGAAGCGCGGUCGACGUUGCUGCACGGGCACGGACGGCUCGCACGGACUAGCCAUGCAUGCUGCCAUGCGCCCACGCUGCACGCCGACGUGGCCACUGAGCGCCUAUGCCAGCUAGCGACAGUCGCCUUGAAGUGCCUUCAACACCUCUACCCCCCUUAUAUAUGCUU
RNAcentral lists this long non-coding RNA (354 nucleotides) under Capsicum annuum. RNAcentral describes it as "long non-coding RNA (CANN_LNC020551)". Lineage: Eukaryota; Viridiplantae; Streptophyta; Magnoliopsida; Solanales; Solanaceae. The record is from RNAcentral.